CUGUCUCAACUUUGUACGUAUAAAUGUUACGCUCAAGCCGACACGUUCACCCGUCUCAUGUCUCAUUCCCUCUCUCGCUUGAGUAAAGUAUGUAUAUAAACCCAACUCGCUCAUCAUGCCGGGUUUCACUAGGAGAAGACUAGGAUGGCUGGAAACCAGGAAAAUUUUGAUUCCAAGAAUACCUCGACUUACAAUGGGACUCCAGAAUCGCCACCACGUGUCGACACAGAACUUGGGCGACGUCGACACUCCUCGUCGCCAAUACCGCUCGUCCGAAGAUCACAUGACGAGAGUGACGCUGACGAGGAGGAAAGCAAAAGGGACAAAAAAUUUGUCCGAUUUGUCGACACGCUUGGCCUGCAGUUGACCAGCGUCAAACUUUUUCAUCACGACGAACUCCCCAACGUGCCAGAGAUCAUCUCUCAUUGACAUCAAGAACUUCGUCUCCCCCGAAACAGAGUGACGUCCUCCUCCCCACGUUCCGCCAGCCGGGCACCCUCGCCAACUUUAUUGUUCGUCUGUCCGAGCAAAAAGUUCUGCUCGAAUCGUGUCAGGCGUCAGUAAAAAAUAUCUAGUGCCGCCUAAGUUCCCGGGAGAGAAAUAAGAGCUUUUUAACUCCGUUGUUAAUAAUUGAAAAAAAAAUAUUAUAAUAAAAAUUUUCAAAAUUUCCUAGAUCUGCGGAGGACUCGGUGACCGUGCUGUCCGGAGAGGUUAAAGUGGUCAACGUCUGGUUUCACAAGGCAGUCUGGGUCAGAUACUCGUACGAUGGGUGGGCAUCCUUUGCAGAAAUUCAGGCCACCCACAAGCCCGACCUACACACGGGAUGGACCGACACGUUUUUAUUUCGGUUGCCACUCCUCCCCCGGAAGGAUACUCGACCUCCGUGGGACACUUUGCAAUUUGCGAUCCGUUACCACACCCACGGAAAUAUUUAUUGGGACAAUAAUUACACCCACAACUACAGACUGCAACUCUUCCACUGAAAGAAAUCGCUACUCGAAGAAAACAAAGGAAUAUUUACGAGUGUCCACCACAUCCUUAGCGAAAUCUCUAAAAUUUAGAUUCAUGCUAUUAACUAUUUUUAUUUAUAAGUUUCCUAAAAAGGAUUUUUAUAACAUCUUAGACCUAUCGGAAUCUCAACGUUUUAAUUUAUUGGAACUGUUUUUCCCAGUUUUUUUCCUAAUUGCUUAAUAAGCUCAUUAAAUUGUUUUUUAAGACUGACACAUACAACGGAUCUGGUCUGCAAGGUACAAAUAUUUAUACAUACGUAUAUCGAAUUAACAUAAAUUUACGAAACUAAAUUGUAUUCAUCUUUCUUCUCGUCAACAAUUGUACGGAAAUUAUUCCCUUUCCAACUUUUAUAAAACUACGAAGGCUGUUAACAUCUACAUACAUAAUAUGUAGAUAUAAUAUGUAAUAUGUACAUAUUAUGUACAUAUCUAUUUGUGAAAUUAAUCCCUAUUUUGUUAAGGUAAAGUAUGCGUGCCCGAAAUAAAUUAUGUUACAUGUAUUGUCAUCAAUGAGUACGGUAAUAGGUAUUUGCAUACAUAUUUACAUGCACGGUACUCAUUUUAAAAUUUUCAGCAAGUUACAUAUAUAUAUAGUUUAAUAGACGGUUAUAUUGAAAUAUGCAGAAAAUCACAUUUUUGAAACCGUUUUUUCCUUCUAAAAACGUUGAGCUGAGCUGUAACAUAAGUUGAGGUGUACAAACACGCAAUUAGAAACA
This is an RNA transcript of Folsomia candida, 1726 nucleotides long. It is a transcript of the gene named glycogen-binding subunit 76A-like, with no coding region annotated. The record is from RefSeq and is a predicted model, not a curated record. The transcript is spliced from 5 exons. NCBI's taxonomy places the organism in Eukaryota, Metazoa, Arthropoda, Collembola, Entomobryomorpha, Isotomidae.